Molecule: ribosomal RNA, 301 nt
Filed under: uncultured bacterium
Lineage: Bacteria
Description: partial 16S ribosomal RNA
Rfam family: Bacterial small subunit ribosomal RNA
Source: RNAcentral
CAGUCGCCGCGGGAAUACGUAGGUGGCAAGCGUUGUCCGGAAUUAUUGGGCGUAAAGGGCUCGCAGGCGGUUUCUUAAGUCUGAUGUGAAAGCCCCCGGCCCAACCGGGGAGGGUCAUUGGAAACUGGGAAACUUGAGUGCAAAAGAGGAGAGUGGAAUUCCACGUGUAGCGGCGAAAUGCGUAGAGAUGUGGAGGAACACCAGUGGCGAAGGCGACUCUCUGGUCUGUAACUGACGUUGAGGAGCGAAAGCGUGGGGAGCGAACAGGAUUAGAUACCCCAGUAGUCCCUGUCUCUUAUAC